AGCCUUAUGUAUUCGUGCUGAGAUGUCGUCACACACUAGAACACAAGGGCAGAUAAGACUCCCAAGGUAAGUGAAGCA
Molecule: non-coding RNA, 78 nt
Organism: Schistosoma haematobium
Lineage: Eukaryota; Metazoa; Platyhelminthes; Trematoda; Strigeidida; Schistosomatidae
Source: Rfam